ACACUAUAUAUAUUGUUAUAUACUAAUUUAUAAAAUAUAUACACAUGUAUAUGUUAAAUAUAUACACAUAUAUACAUAUCGUUCAAUAUAUACGUACUCCUUUAAAUAAAAUAUACUACAAUAUAUAUACACUAUAAGAAAUACACACACUAUAUAUAUAGUUAUAUACCAAUUUAUAAAACAUAUACACAUGUAUACGUUAAAUAUAUACGUCUAUGGUAGAUAUAUACACA
Molecule: long non-coding RNA, 233 nt
Filed under: Capsicum annuum
Lineage: Eukaryota; Viridiplantae; Streptophyta; Magnoliopsida; Solanales; Solanaceae
Description: long non-coding RNA (CANN_LNC001976)
Source: RNAcentral